GAGACAGAGUCUCACACUGUCGCCCAGGCUGGAGUCCAGUGGUGCAAUCUUGGCUCACUGCAAGCUCCGCCUCUUGGGUUCACACCAUUCUGUUGCCUCAGCCUCCCUAGUAGCUGGGACUCCAGGCGCCCGCCACCAUGCCUGGCUAAUUUUUUGUAUUUUUAGUAGAGACGGGGUUUCACCGUGUUAGCCAGGCUAAUUUUUGUUUGGUUUUCUUUUUUUUUUUUUUUUUUUUUUUGGUAGAGACAGAGUUUCACCAUGUUGGCCAGGUUGGUCUCAAACUCCUGACCUCAAGUGAUCUGGCUGCCUUGGCCUCCCAAAGUACUGGGAUUACAGGCAUGAGCCACCAUGCCCAGCCAAGGAGUCAGAAUUCUUAAAUGGCUUACUCAGUUGUAUAUAUAGUUGAGGGCAGAAAUAAAUUUAUUAAUGAAAUCUAUGACAAAAACAAACCAAUAUCCAGAAGACUAUGGGCCACCACCACACAUUAGUCCUACUUACAGGGACUGGUCUUCAAACAUUAUACAAUAGCUUUCUUCAAAAUCAAAUAAAAGAUUUGUAGGCAAAAACAUACCAGGUAUUCUGAAAUAAUAUAUGUAAUGCCUACUUCACUAUGGGAUAUGUGAGUCCAUCAAUAACUGUCAGUUUCCUCCCUAGUUUAUCCAUAUAUCCCCUAAAUGCAUGCCCCUGUUAUGUCAGAGCAAUUUUUUGAGUAUGCAAAAAUCUUUUACAUGCAACAUUCCACAUACUGUUCUUUCUUAAGAGUUGCCUUGGGUGAGAAGAGAACAAUACAUAUGAAAUUUCAGCCACUGUCAUUUGUGGGGAAAAAAAAAUCUCCUUAGAUAUAGCUGGAUGCUGGAGAAAGGGAAAUGCUGGACUCACUUCAACAUGACUUGGAAUGAGUGUAGGUAUACAGCUGCCAUCCACCUGAAGAGUACCAUAAUUAAUUAUAUGUCAGGAAAAAUUACAUCAUUGUCAAUCGUUUCUAGCAAAAGGAAAUGUAAUGCAUCUUUAGAUGAAAAAUAAUUUUUUCCUUCAAAUACUUGAUUUUUCAAAUAAUUCCAAGUAGUAGAAUUUUCAUGUUGAGUUGAAAUCUCUUCUGAUACAAACAGAAAAGGUUAUCAGAUAGUUCUACUUGGAAAGGACACGAAAUGAUAAUCAUCUUUUUCUGUAUCAUGAUGGCUCAUUUCAGAUCUACAUUAAAGUUUCUUUGGUUGGAAAAGCUCUUACAGUGUUUGUAUAUUACUUAGAUUUUGUUGAACUAUCUUGUGUGUCUUACUAUGUAUGUGCUGGUGCAUAAAGGCUCAAAAUAAGUAUCAUAGCAACAUAGUUUACGCAGUAAUAAUGGACUGUUUUGCUCAAGGCCUGCUUGAUUCUUACCUGUAUUACUGUUACUCAUUGUAGUUUUUAUAUGCACCAGGAUUUCUUUCUUCAAACAUAGUAUUUUUUUUUUACAGGGUUUAAAAUUUCAGUAAAAUGAGCUGAUCUACAAUUCUGCUGGUUUUUAUGGAAGUACAGGUGUGUGUUAUGUUUGCAUAUCCCUUGGACUUUGGCCUGCAUAUCAAAGUCUAAGGACACCAGACACAACAGGUCAGUUUGCAUGAACUGGGGCUGCCCACUGGAAUAACAAACCUGAGUGUUAAUGUCACUAAAGGAAGACCAAGCCUUCAAGAGAGUUCUAACACAUACUUAAGUCUUUCCAAGGUCCUUGGAAGGUAGUAGAGGUCAAAUUCAAGAGAGCUUUUUAAGAAUUUUUAAGAUUUUA
This 1762-nucleotide long non-coding RNA is filed under the name Homo sapiens (human). Its description in RNAcentral is "non-protein coding lnc-RDH10-4:1". The record is from RNAcentral. Lineage: Eukaryota; Metazoa; Chordata; Mammalia; Primates; Hominidae.